Molecule: long non-coding RNA, 1953 nt
Filed under: Homo sapiens (human)
Lineage: Eukaryota; Metazoa; Chordata; Mammalia; Primates; Hominidae
Description: HSALNT0260278
Source: RNAcentral
CCUUAAAUAGCAUGGGUAGAUGUUCAAACAUGUUAGGACUCGCUGGCCCUAGGAAAGACCCGCAAGUAGAUACUUUCCACACCAGGAAAGUGACAAUGAAACACCAAACACCUUUUCUCCUCUAAUUACCAAGGAAAAUAUUUCUUUCCCAAUGGUGGAAGACAAUAAUGUUGGGAAUGAUGAAGUUUUCUGGAGUGUGAAGUGGAUAUGUCUUAUAAGUUUAAUCCACAGAUUCACCACUUCAUAAGUGGAUAAUCGAAUUGUGCCUCAGUUUCCUCAGACUUGGGGAUAUUAAGAGAACCCUCAGUCACCACAAGGUGGGUACCAGCAUAAGAAAAGAGUGUAGCAAAAGCCCAGGGGUGCAUGUUCUUAAAGUGCCUAGUGUGGGAUUAGAAUGACAAGUGGUAGAUGACCUACUUGUGCAGAAAUUUAGAGUUAUUUUGUGAUUUUCAAAUGAUCAUGGGUGCUUUCCAUAUGCUGUCCAGACUAGGGGUGCUGCAGCUAGAAAGGGAAGAAGGUUUCCAUAUUUCCUGAGAUUGGAGUCACAUCCUCUCACCAAUGCACUCACCUGCUGACUAACCAGUGUACUUCUGGGAAUUGCAAAUGCAUGAAAUGGCACCCAUUCUAGACUAGUCGCGGCAGUGUUGGUGAUGGCCACAGACCAGGAACGACCUUGACGUUUAUCCGUAGGGAACUGGGUCAUGAGCCAUGAUCCACAUCAUGGAUACUGUGCAGCUGUGGCAAUGAAUGAGGUAUCCUUCUGUCUGUGCACCGGGAAAGGUUUCCAAGAUACACUGCACAGUGAGAAAAACAAGAAGCAGAACAAUGCACGGUGUGCUACCUCUUGCAUUACAAAGGAGGAAAUGUAAAAUUAAUUUACAAAUGGCCAAUAAACACAUGAAAAGAUGCUCAACAUCACUAAUCAUUAGGAAAAUAAAAAUCACAACUACAGUGGGAUACCACCUUACAUCCUUUACGAUGGUUGUUCCCAAUAAAAAAAAAAAAAGGAAAACAGAAAAGAAAAGUGUUGGCGAGGAGGAAUUGGAAUGCUUGUGUAGUGUUUGUGGGUUUGUAAUAUGGCACAACAACUGUGGUCAUUUCUCAAAAAAUUAAUCAUAGACUUACCACAAGAUGCAGCAAUUCGGCUUCUGGUGUAUUCCAAAAAGAACGGAAAGCAGGGGCCCCAGCAGAUAUUUGCAUGUCUUUGUUCAUAGCAGCAUUAUUCACAAUAGCUAAAAGUUGGAAACAAGCCCAGUGUCCAUCCAUCCAUGAAUGAAUAAACAAAAAGUGGUCUAUGCGUACAAACAAAUGGGAUUCAGCUGUAACAAGAAGGGUGAUUCUGAUGUGUGCUUCAACAUGAUUAAGCCUUGAGUUCUUUCUGCUAAGUGAAAUAAUCAGACUCAAAAAGACAACUACUACAUGAUUCCACUUAACAGAGGCUUUCACAAGCUCCAAAAGAUUCACCGUGCAGAACUGGACGUUCUAGAGAAAGACCACGCCUCCUCCUGCAGGAGGCCAGAGGAACUUGUCUGGCAAUUAUGAGAGUGGAUGGAGGAACUGCCUAUCCCUGUCCCAUGGUCUUGUCCACAGGUCCUGUGAGAUUCACGCUCAAAGAGGUUCUGUUCUGAUGUGUUUCCAGGAUUUGUUUCAAGAUUUGGAGCUCCUUUUAGCAGUUAUUGUAGUGCUGGCUUGGUAGUGGCAAAUUCUCUGAGCAUUUGUUUGUCUGAAAAAGACUGUUAUCUUUCCUUUAUUUAUGAACUUUAGUUUUGCUGGAUACAAAAUUCUUGGCUGAUAAUUUUUUUUUUCUUUUUCUGAGAUGGAGUCUUUCCCUGUUGCCCAGGCUGGAGUGCAGUGGUGUGAUCUCGGCUCACUGCAACCUCCGCCUCCUGGAUUCACGCCAUUCUCCUGCCUCAGCCUCCUGAGUAGCUGGGAUUACAGGCGCCUGCCACCAGG